AGAGUUUGAUCAUGGCUCAGGAUGAACGCUGGCGGCGUGCUUAACACAUGCAAGUCGAACGAUGAAGCCCAGCUUGCUGGGUGGAUUAGUGGCGAACGGGUGAGUAACACGUGAGUAACCUGCCCUUAACUCUGGGAUAAGCCUGGGAAACUGGGUCUAAUACCGGAUAGGAGCGCCUACCGCAUGGUGGGUGUUGGAAAGAUUUAUCGGUUUUGGAUGGACUCGCGGCCUAUCAGCUUGUUGGUGAGGUAAUGGCUCACCAAGGCGACGACGGGUAGCCGGCCUGAGAGGGUGACCGGCCACACUGGGACUGAGACACGGCCCAGACUCCUACGGGAGGCAGCAGUGGGGAAUAUUGCACAAUGGGCGCAAGCCUGAUGCAGCGACGCCGCGUGAGGGAUGACGGCCUUCGGGUUGUAAACCUCUUUCAGUAGGGAAGAAGCGAAAGUGACGGUACCUGCAGAAGAAGCACCGGCUAACUACGUGCCAGCAGCCGCGGUAAUACGUAGGGUGCGAGCGUUAUCCGGAAUUAUUGGGCGUAAAGAGCUCGUAGGCGGUUUGUCGCGUCUGUCGUGAAAGUCCGGGGCUUAACCCCGGAUCUGCGGUGGGUACGGGCAGACUAGAGUGCAGUAGGGGAGACUGGAAUUCCUGGUGUAGCGGUGGAAUGCGCAGAUAUCAGGAGGAACACCGAUGGCGAAGGCAGGUCUCUGGGCUGUAACUGACGCUGAGGAGCGAAAGCAUGGGGAGCGAACAGGAUUAGAUACCCUGGUAGUCCAUGCCGUAAACGUUGGGCACUAGGUGUGGGGACCAUUCCACGGUUUCCGCGCCGCAGCUAACGCAUUAAGUGCCCCGCCUGGGGAGUACGGCCGCAAGGCUAAAACUCAAAGGAAUUGACGGGGGCCCGCACAAGCGGCGGAGCAUGCGGAUUAAUUCGAUGCAACGCGAAGAACCUUACCAAGGCUUGACAUGUUCUCGAUCGCCGUAGAGAUACGGUUUCCCCUUUGGGGCGGGUUCACAGGUGGUGCAUGGUUGUCGUCAGCUCGUGUCGUGAGAUGUUGGGUUAAGUCCCGCAACGAGCGCAACCC
This 1085-nucleotide ribosomal RNA is filed under the name Micrococcus sp. 98TH11322. RNAcentral describes it as "bacterial SSU rRNA". It matches the Rfam family "Bacterial small subunit ribosomal RNA", at positions 8 to 1104 of the family's 1533-position model. The record is from RNAcentral. Lineage: Bacteria; Bacillati; Actinomycetota; Actinomycetes; Micrococcales; Micrococcaceae.